Molecule: ribosomal RNA, 932 nt
Filed under: Cortinarius sp. PDD 96658
Lineage: Eukaryota; Fungi; Basidiomycota; Agaricomycetes; Agaricales; Cortinariaceae
Description: partial large subunit ribosomal RNA
Rfam family: Eukaryotic large subunit ribosomal RNA
Source: RNAcentral
CAUAUCAAUAAGCGGAGGAAAAGAAACUAACAAGGAUUCCCCUAGUAACUGCGAGUGAAGCGGGAAAAGCUCAAAUUUAAAAUCUGGCGGUCUUUUGGCUGUCCGAGUUGUAAUCUAGAGAAGUGUUAUCCGCGCUGGACCGUGUACAAGUCUCCUGGAAUGGAGCAUCAUAGAGGGUGAGAAUCCCGUCUUUGACAUGGACUACCAGGGCUUUGUGAUGCGCUCUCAAAGAGUCGAGUUGUUUGGGAAUGCAGCUCAAAAUGGGUGGUAAAUUCCAUCUAAAGCUAAAUAUUGGCGAGAGACCGAUAGCGAACAAGUACCGUGAGGGAAAGAUGAAAAGAACUUUGGAAAGAGAGUUAAACAGUACGUGAAAUUGCUGAAAGGGAAACGCUUGAAGUCAGUCGCGUCAUCCAGGGAUCAACCUUGCUUUUGCUUGGUGCACUUUCUGGUUUGAUGGGUCAGCAUCAAUUUUGACCAUUGGAAAAAGGUCAAGGGAAUGUGGCAUCUUUGGAUGUGUUAUAGCCCUUGGUCACAUACAAUGGUUGGGAUUGAGGAACUCAGCACGCCGCAAGGCCGGGUUUUAAACCACGUUCGUGCUUAGGAUGCUGGCAAUAUGGCUUUAAUCGACCCGUCUUGAAACACGGACCAAGGAGUCUAACAUGCCUGCGAGUGUUUGGGUGGAAAACCCGAGCGCGUAAUGAAAGUGAAAGGUUGAGAUCCCUGUCGUGGGGAGCAUCGACGCCCGGACCAGACCUUUUGUGACGGUUCCGCGGUAGAGCAUGUAUGUUGGGACCCGAAAGAUGGUGAACUAUGCCUGAAUAGGGUGAAUCCAGAGGAAACUCUGGUGGAGGCUCGUAGCGAUUCUGACGUGCAAAUCGAUCGUCAAAUUUGGGUAUAGGGGCGAAAGACUAAUCGAACCAUCUAGUAGCUGG